This is a long non-coding RNA of Maniola jurtina (meadow brown), 94 nucleotides long. RefSeq lists it as uncharacterized. Lineage: Eukaryota; Metazoa; Arthropoda; Insecta; Lepidoptera; Nymphalidae. The record is from RefSeq and is a predicted model, not a curated record. The transcript is spliced from 3 exons.
AAAGCAAUCUCUUACAGGCAACCUUUGGUGAAAGGAUUUAAUUGACCAGAGCACGGGAUGGUGCAAGAACUAAAAAGUGAAAUUAAUAACUAAG